AGAAUCAACGCUGGCGGCGUGCCUAACACAUGCAAGUCGAACGAGAAAGUGGAGCAAUCCAUGAGUAAAGUGGCGCACGGGUGAGUAACACGUGACUAACCUACCCUUGAGUGGGGAAUAACUGAGGGAAACCUUAGCUAAUACCGCAUAACACCUACGGGUCAAAGGAGCAAUUCGCUUAAGGAGGGGUCGCGGCAGAUUAGUUAGUUGGCGGGGUAAUGGCCCACCAAGACAGUGAUCUGUA
This 244-nucleotide ribosomal RNA is filed under the name uncultured bacterium. Its description in RNAcentral is "partial small subunit ribosomal RNA". It matches the Rfam family "Bacterial small subunit ribosomal RNA", at positions 26 to 285 of the family's 1533-position model. The record is from RNAcentral.